AAUCAAUAUUUUUGCUUACAAAGGUGACCCAUCCAUCUUUUCCAUGGCAGCUUGGCCAGGGAAUUGGCAGGAUCCACAGGGGCCAGGUUUUCACCAUUUGGGACAAGUCAGGGAUUAAUUUCCCCCAAGUCCCUCUGCUCACUCUCCUUGGGGCUUUGUGACACAAAUUUCCCUGAAAGAAGCAAUCCAGAGGUGGCAACUUCCUGGAUAGUGGAAAAAACCAAUUUCAGUGGCCACUAAUUUUCAUUUCUUGAACAGCAGCUUGAAUUCUCUUAGUGGAAGUUAACUCACAGUGCCAGGAUAAAAGGAGAUUCCUUAAUUCCAUUUCCCUGAGUCUCAGCCUGGGAGUGAGAGUGGAUUUUACAGGUGCACAGAUCAGUCCCACAUGAAACCACCCAAGAUUUAUUGGACAGGGGUUGUUUGCUUUUUAAUCACAUUUAUUAUCACUGGGAAGCUCAACACAAAGGUCACUCCUUCAGCUGGUUCCUGUAAUUGACAUUUAUGAUUACUGAGAUGUCUCCCAUGAUACCACAAAUUCUCAGGUUUUAAAUUAAAAAAAAAAUGUUUUAAAAUUCUGUUUUGUCUUAAGAUAAGCAUUUUUCUUUACCUUAGCUGUAGUUCUUUGUGACUUUACAGAGGAAAAGGGUGAGAAGUUGGCAGUGAAAAUGUAUUUAUUUAUGAUACAGGGAUAGAGAGAUACAUGUGAGUGCAGGUACAGCUGUGGAUUCAUGCACACACAUCAAACACAUCUUUUUGAGGUGAUAACCUCUCACUUCACUGACUGGUUGAGGUCUCCACCUUCCUGUUUCAUGUUAAACAUCUUCCCUGUCGUAUUUGUGCCUUUUUGGGUUCCACCCCGUGGCAGAAGUGUGAUGUGGUGCGAAGCCAGGCUGCACAAACCAGUGUGUGUGGCAUUGUAUUCAAGCACUUCAGAGGGAAGUGGCUGAAUUAAAUAACUCAUUUCCAGCUAAGGAAGGUGGACUGCAGUGCUGGAGACACGUCCUGACCCCCCUGGGAUGAUGUUAUGAUCCAAAUAUUGAGAAAUUCCUCUGCACAAAUUAAUCUGCACAGGAGACCAUGUGCUGGAGUCAAUAGUUCUGAUUUUAUUUAACAGUAAAUGUGAGGUGG
RNAcentral lists this long non-coding RNA (1128 nucleotides) under Cyanistes caeruleus (blue tit). Its description in RNAcentral is "lncRNA (ENSCCEG00000018709.1)". Lineage: Eukaryota; Metazoa; Chordata; Aves; Passeriformes; Paridae. The record is from RNAcentral.